CUCUGUGGAAGAUUGGGAGAGAAGCCAAGGGAAGGGAGGUUAGGAGGAGGGAGCUGCCUCAGAAUAGGACAGGUCUCCUCAGCUCACGCAUGCAGGGACCUCUACUCACAGAGGACUGGUCCUGGUUCAGAUUUUGCUGAGGACUGGGCAUCAGAGCGAGAAGGAGGUUUCUGGAUGAACUGUACUAACUGACCCAAGAGGAGACCCCAGAGGAAAGAAAAGCUGGUGGAGGUGCCUGGCUCGGUGGCCUAUUGAGAAAGAGCUGUCCCUGAGGAGCCUGAUGGGCGUCCUGGGGCUGGGGAAGCAGACAGAGGUCCUGAAAGGACAGUUGUCAGGGCAGCUACACAAAGGCCAUCACCAGGGUCUAGCUGGAACACAGUGGGGGAAAUCCCCCAGAGGUCUGAGAACAGUAGCCUGCAGUACUUUCUUUACCUUCUUCUAGGUCAGUGAUUGUCAAAAUGUGGUCCCUGGACCAACAGCAUCACUUGAGAAUUUAUUAAAGCUGCAGAUUAUUUGGGCCUCACUCCAGAUCUUCUGAAUCAGAACCUCGGGGGCUGGAGCCCAGUGAUUUAUAUUUUUGCAAGCUCUCCAGAUGAUUCCGAGGCACUCUCACAUUUGAAAACCAUUGCUGUGGGACAAGUGUUCCUUCUCACGAUGUCCUGUGGAAGGCAGGAUGCAAAAGUUGGCUAAGAGACGGGCCAGCUGAAUUCCCCCCCCAGCGCCUACUAAAGAGAAGCAGGGGUUGGAAAUUUAGAUGGCUUUGAGCCAGAAGUCAACUGUGAAUGUCUGAACAUUUCUUAGAGACCUCUAAUGAGGCUGGAUUCUGCUCCAAAGAAGCUGUUCCUUAGAGGUCAGUUUGAAGCUGAACUGAACACAACCACCAACAAAAAUAAAGGAGUUUGCCUAUGUGCUGGAGGGGAUUUCUCCACAGAA
Molecule: long non-coding RNA, 933 nt
Organism: Suricata suricatta (meerkat)
Lineage: Eukaryota; Metazoa; Chordata; Mammalia; Carnivora; Herpestidae
Exons: 2
Source: RefSeq, a predicted model, not a curated record